CUUGAGUCAGAGGUGGCCAGGAGAAACUGUUUGCAGCUGAUUCUUCAGCCAUGCAUCCCUGGCCAUCAAGGAAGAAGAACAAGGCUGUUGUGUUUCCCUAAGAAAAACAAGAGGACAAUGGCUUGUCCUGCAGUGGGAGGGAGCAGAGGCCUAAAUCAGGUCACCACGCAAUGGGGCUUUGAAAGUUUCACCAUUGAAUCCUCUCCCCAUCCUCUAAUUUUUCUUUUUCUGUUUGCCCCUUAAUCAUUGUUUUGAUAAUUAUGAUAAUAUUCACACAUUUCAAAAAGUCCAACAAACAAGGAGAAAAAAUUAGAAAUAUUUGCACUUUUUCUGUGUAGAAAGGUAACUAUUGUUUGUACAUUUUUAGCGUCCCUUUUCCUAUUAAUGAUUUAUUGUAGACAUGGUUCCAGGGUGACUGAUUUAGGUUGACAUCAUUGUAACAGGAAUUACUGAAAUAGGAGUUAGGAUUCUACUAGGCCUUAAGGCCAGCAGCCCCAAAACAGAAUCUUGAAGUCCAAAAUGGAGCCUGCUGAGUUGUGAUCCUCCAGGGACCUUACCGAAACAUCUGUUGACUGUCCUUCAGCUGUUCCAGACCUUUCCAGAGCAUAAUCUGGCAGGCCAUUGGCUGGAGGGUACAUGGCCUGUGCAUGGGCACUGUGUGAACACUGGUUGGCCUGCUUCGGUGACUCAAGGAAGAUGUUCAUGCGUGAGGUCCCAAGAUUAGAGAAUGUACAUGUUCAAGACGUCAGCAACAAAGACAUGAAGUUUAAAAACCAAAAAAUGACUAAGAGGAAAAAAAGCACAAAACUGAAAAUACAUGGCAGAGAUCACCCCAGGAGGCCUGAAGAGAGUCAUUGGAGUGACUGCACACAGUGGGACAGCACUGUGCACUCUGUGUGGUGAAACUGCUGGGUACUGUACAUCAAGUGUCAGAUGACGCUUUGACACCAACCACAAAAGUGUUGCUAAACUUGGUGAAACUGAAAGGUGAGAGUUUCUAGAA
This 1003-nucleotide long non-coding RNA is filed under the name Cavia porcellus (domestic guinea pig). RNAcentral's name for it is "lncRNA (ENSCPOG00000037366.1)". The record is from RNAcentral. Lineage: Eukaryota; Metazoa; Chordata; Mammalia; Rodentia; Caviidae.